Molecule: long non-coding RNA, 1447 nt
Filed under: Cairina moschata (Muscovy duck)
Lineage: Eukaryota; Metazoa; Chordata; Aves; Anseriformes; Anatidae
Description: domestica (muscovy Duck (domestic type)) lncRNA (ENSCMMG00000003161.1)
Source: RNAcentral
UGAUUCUGUGUACGGAUCAUAGAAGUGGUGAUGCCUUUCCCUUUCCCUUUCCCUUUCCCUUUCCCUUUCCCUUUCCCUUUCCCUUUCCCUUUCCCUUUCCCUUUCCCUUUCCAUCUCCUUCUCCCUGGUUUUCAGAGCCACAUGAGCACUAAAGGAGGUGAACUAUGUUGACAGACUUGGAGAUGAAUAUGGAGCCAAGUAUACUAAUAAGCGCUCCACAUAGGCAGAGAGAGCCUUCUGCCCUCUGACUUGAGGUUUGGGGCUGAUUCUAAUGUGAGCUCUGUCCACAUCAUGAGAAUGAGUUUCAUUACUGCUGUCAGCGAAGAAGAUGUAAUUACCCACAGAACACUAAUAAUGCACCUGCCCCGCUAGGGCUGAAACUCUAGACCUGAUUUUCCUUCCUUUCAUAUACCUGGGGAUCAGUUUAUAUGCAACAAAAUUAGCAUUCCAGGUUAAAAAAACAACAAAAAAAGACCACUUUCACAGUCAGUUGGUUUACAAUAAAGGUAAUGCUUGUAACCAUGCUACCGAAGAGUUUCAGGCCUUUCCUCAUGUCUUUUUUAAGCUUCUCUUCCCCCUGGCCCCUGGUCUGGCUCCUGGCAGGCAUGGAGCUUAGUAGAGCUGCGGUCUUUGACAAUUAGACCAUUGUACUAAAGCUCUCCACAGCCUUGUUCUCCUUCAGACGAGCACAGGCUACUUCUCCUGUAGCCUCCGUAAGUGGUUAUUUGAGUUAGAUCCAUCUAAGGCUUCCCAGUUCUGUGUUUCUCCGUACAUAUUUCAUCAUGAAGACUCAGUAAAAUGGAAUAUCCCCCAGAAGGCAAGCAGCAAAGAAAAUCCACUGGACUUGCUUGUUCCUUGGGAUCCAAGCUAGACAUCUAGAAGAGAUUUUCAAAAUCAAUGUUUAAAACAAGCUUGCUGGUUAACCCUAAGGCUGACUACAUGGCACGGUGCUGGGAAAAUAGCUUUUUUCCAUGUACACUUUUACUGAUAGUUUAAAUACAAUAAACAUGUUCUUAAAAAGUGUUAAUAUGUUCUCUAAACACAAGCUAUUUUCCCCAUAGAGGCAGGCUAUGCAGAAGUUGGUAUGAGAAAUCCACACUGACACUAUAGAACUUGAAGGCAAAUAACGCUUGCAACUCCUGGAAAAUUCACUUAGGGAAAAAGCAUGUCCUAGAAAUCUUUCUUCCACCCAGAAAUACUCAGUUUUUAGGCAAGCUCUUUUAGCAUUUCAGAAUUGUCACUUCAAAAUGUUGAUACCAUUUUUCUUUUAUUCUUUUACUUGCAUAUAUGAUAUUUUUAGUUGUUUCAUUACUUCUUGAUACUAGGGACAGCCGAUACUGACAUGCUAUAAUAGAUUUUAAAUAUCUUUUAGUUUUUUAGUUGAAUUUUUUAUUUUUUUUUUAGAGUAGUGGCUCCUGUCUGUGUGGCAAUGAAACAGCUUUAUAUA